RNAcentral lists this long non-coding RNA (4691 nucleotides) under Trifolium pratense (red clover). RNAcentral describes it as "long non-coding RNA (TPRA_LNC012012)". Lineage: Eukaryota; Viridiplantae; Streptophyta; Magnoliopsida; Fabales; Fabaceae. The record is from RNAcentral.
UGUUAGAAAUUGAUGUUCUUCUUAAGCCCAUAUCCAUUGUGAUCCAAGCCCAUCCAUUGUAGGAUCCCUCCAUAACAUUUUGUAUGUGAUACACUUGGCUUGUUGCAAGUAUCACACUUGUAUUAUUGCAUGUAGUUUCCCUUACCACUUGUAUAGAUGCAUGUAUUUUCUUUACCACUUGUCAUGUUGCAUGUAUUUCCCUUGACACUUGUCUUCAUGCAUGUAAGCUAUGUAGUUGCUCCUUCUACUAUAAAUAGGAGUUCACAAUGUACCUUGUAUCAUCCAAUAAUUAGCAACAUAACAUCUUCCUCUAAAACUUUAUUGUCUUUCUAGUUUUCUAGUUUCUCUAACCUUCUUCUCCACCACUCUAUACAAUAGCCUUUGUUUUUUCUUACAUGGUAUCAAGAGCUUCAUUGAUCUUAACGGGUCUGUGAGGAAACAAAACCAGCAAGAAAACAUUCACAAAAAAAACCUUUAUACACCAUAAAUGGCUUCCAACAAUAGUUCUUUACCUCCACCUCCUAUGUUUGUAGGAGAAAACUAUCAUUUGUGGGCUGCAAAAAUGAAAACUUAUGGGAUGUUUGUGGAAAAUGGAAGCACCCCACCGGUUCUUCCAAACAACCCAACAGUAGCUCAAAUAAGAAAUCACAAUGAGGAAGUGGCAAAAGAAGGAAGAGCACUUGCCAUAAUACAUGUAGCUUUACAUGAUGAUAUAUUUAUCAAGAUCUUGAAUCUUGAGACUGCAAAAGAAGCUUGGGACAAGCUGAAGAAAGAGUUUCAAGGGAGUGAAAGAACAAAGAAGAUGCAAGUGUUGAACUUGAGAAGAGAGUUUGAAGCACUAAAACUGAAAGAAACCGAAAUUGUUAGAGAAUUUUCUGACAGAAUUUUGAAGGUGGUUUCACAAAUCAGAUUGCUGGGAGAGAAUCUCAGUGAUCAAAGAGCCGUGGAAAAAAAUUUAGUGUGUCUUCCAGAGAGGUUUGAAGCAAAAAUAUCCUCUCUCGAAGAAACUAAGGACUUUUCUCAAAUCACACUUGCAGAGCUUGUUAAUGUUUUGCAAGCUACUGAGCAGAGAAGAUCUUUAAGGUUGGAAGAAANNNNNNNNNNNNNNNNNNNNNNNNNNNNNNNNNNNCUUUUGGUGAGAAGAAAGGGAAAGGAAAAAAGGAGGAUGUCAACAACAAAGGAGAGAGCUGGAAAAAGAAGUUUCCAACUUGUCAACAUUGCAAAAAAGAUACUCAUUUAGAGAAGCAUUGUUGGUAUAGGCCAGCUUUUAAAUGCAGAGCCUGCAAUCAACUUGGUCAUGUGGAAAAGGUUUGCAAAAACAAAGCAAACCAGCAGAGACAACAAGCCCAAGUUGUCGAACACCACCAACAAGAGGAGCAAUUAUUCAUGGCUUCUUGUUAUUCAAUCGGAAGUAGCAAAGAAACAUGGCUAAUAGAUAGCGGGUGCACCAAUCACAUGACUCAUAAUGUUGGCAUUUUUAAGGAACUUGAUAAGUCCUUCUUCUGUAAAGUUACUAUUGGCAAUGGAGAACAUGUUGAUGUCAAAGGAAAAGGUGUUGUAGCUGUUGAAACUCCCUCAGGUAUCAAAUAUAUCUUAGAUGUUUUAUUUGUACCUGAAAUAAAUCAAAGUCUUUUAAGUGUGGGGCAAAUGAUGGAAAAAAACUAUUCAUUGCAUUUCAAAGAUAAGAGAUGCACUAUUCUAGAUCCUUCUGGAUCUAAGUUAAUGACUGUUGAAAUGAAGGGUAAAAGUUUUCCAAUAGAGUGGAAAUAAACAACCAUGCAUGCUUUUCCGAGUAGUGUUAAUGAUUCCUCCUUGUGGCAUAAAAGGUUGGGUCACUUUAGUUACUCAACCUUGAAACAAAUGAGUUCUCAUGAUUUGGUUGAAAAUUUACCAAUCAUCGAAGAUGUUGUUGACAUGUGUGAUGUAUGUCAAUAUGGAAAACAAAGUAGAUUGUCAUUUCCCGCUGCGUCAACCUGGAGAGCUUCUGAAAAGUUACAGUUGAUACACACUGAUGUGUGUGGUCCGAUGCCAACGACAUCUUUAAAUGACAGCAAGUAUUUUCUGCUAUUUAUAGAUGAUUUGACAAGGAUGAGUUGGGUAUUUUUUCUUAAGCAGAAGUCAGAUGGGUUUCCUGCGUUUCAGAAUUUCAAACUUAUGGUUGAAAAAGAGACUGAUUGUCAGAUUAAAAAGCUCAGAUCUGAUAAUGGAACUGAGUAUAUAGCAGGGGAAUUUAAAACCUUUUGUGAGCAAGCUGGAAUUCAACAUCAAUUUAUUGUUCCUUACACUCCUCAACAAAAUGGAGUGAGCGAAAGGAAGAACAGGACCAUCAUGGAGAUGGCCCGGUGUUUGCUCUUUGAGAAAGGUAUUCCUAAAACUUUUUGGGCUGAGGUUGUAAACACCUCACUUUACUUGUUGAAUUUGUUGCCUACCAAAGCCUUGAAGGGGAAAACACCCUUUGAAGCAUAUGAAAGAAAGCCAUCGGUUGAACAUUUAAGAAUAUUUGGAUGCGUGUGUUAUGUUCACAUUCCAAGUGUGAAAACAGAUAAAUUGGAAACCAAGUCUGUGGUUGGUAUCUUUUUGGGGUACAACAGUAACUCCAAAGGGUAUCGAAUUUAUAAUUUGGAGACCAAAAAAAUUCUGGUUAGCAGAGAUGUGAAGUUUGAUGAGUACUCUANNNNNNNNNNNNNNNNNNNNNNNNNNNNNNNNNNNNNNNNNNNNNNNNNNNNNNNNNNNNNNNNNNNNNNNNNNNNNNNNNNNNNNNNNNGGAAGAUGAAAAUUCAAACUAUGAUAGUGAUGAUGAUUUUCCAAUCCGAGGUACUAGAACCUUGGAUGAUAUUUAUGCAAGGUGCAUAGCUACAUUAGAGCCUACACGGUAUGCUGAAGCUGCUAAUGUUGAAGGAUGGAAAGUUGCCAUGUAGGAGGAGAUGAAGAUGAUAGAAAAAAAUCAAACAUGGCAGCUUGUAGACAAACCAGAAAAUCAAAAGAUUAUUGGUGUUAAGUGGGUUUAUAGAACCAAACUCAAUCCUGAUGGUUCUAUAAAUAAACUUAAGGCCAGAUUGGUGGUAAAAGGUUAUUUUCAACAACAUGGUGUUGAUUUUUCAGACACUUUUGCACCUGUUGCAAGACAUGAUACAAUUAGGUUGUUGGUUGCCUUAGCAGCGAAAUUGGGCUGGAAAAUUUAUCAUUAAAUCAGCUUUUUUAAAUGGGUUGCUUGAUGAAGACAUUUAUGUCGACCAACCUGGAGGUUUUAAGGUUGCAGGAAGUGAAAAUAAAUUUUACAAGCUUCACAAAGCCCUCUAUGGCUUAAAACAAGCACCGAGAGCAUGGUAUAGCAGAAUUGAUGGCUAUCUCCUGCAAAGUGGUUUUAAAAGAAGUGAAAAUGAAGCUACUUUGUAUGUUGAUGAUUUGUUGGUUAUAGGGAAUGAAUCCAAUUCUCUAAGUCAAUUCAAGCAAGCUAUGGAGAAUGAAUUUGAGAUGACAGAUUUGGGUGAAAUGAAAUAUUUNNNNNNNNNNNNNNNNNNNNNNNNNNNNNNNNUCUUGGAAUGGAGAUUUUUCAGUCAAGUGUUGGAAUCUUCAUUUCACAAAAGAAAUAUGCUUUGGAGGUAUUAAAGAAGUUUCAUAUGGAUAAGUGCAAGCCUGUUUCCACACCUUUAGUUGUUAAUGAAAAAUUAUCAAAGGAUGAUGGUGAUAAUGGUGCAGAUGCUUCUAUUUAUAGAAGUAUAAUUGGAAGUUUGUUGUAUCUUUCAGCAACCAGGCCUGAUAUAAUGUUUGCUGCUAGCUUACUUUCCAGGUUCAUGCAUUCUCCAAGUCAAGUUCAUCUUGGUGCAGCUAAGAGAGUUUUGAGGUAUAUAAAGGGUACAACUGUUUAUGGUUUGCAUUUCUUGAAAAAUGAAAGUGGAGACCUCCAAGGAUAUACAGAUAGUGACUGGGCUGGAAGUGUAGAUGAUGCGAAAAGUACCUCUAGUUAUGUUUUCUCAUUUGGCAGUGCUGUGUUCUCAUGGAAUUCAAGGAAGCAAGAAGUGGUCGCCCAAUCAUCAGCUGAAGCUGAGUAUAUUUAUGCUGCUGCAGCAACAAAUCAAACUAUUUGGCUAAGGGAGAUUUUAUCAGAUGUGGGACAAUUUCAAAUCAAAGCUACUAUCAUAUGGGUGGAUGACAAAUCUGUUAUUGCCAUAGCAAAGAAUCCAGUCCAACAUGGAAGAACCAAACACAUCAAGGUUAAAUAUCAUGCUAUUAGAGAAGCUGAAAAGUCAAAGGAAAUCAGUUUGGAGCAUUGCAAUUCAGAAAAUCAAAUUGCAGAUAUAAUGACUAAAGCUCUUUCUAAGGGAAAGUUUGAAGAGUUGAGGUCAAUGCUUGAAGUAUUCAAGAAAAACAUCAAGGAGGAGUGUUAUAAAUUGAUGUUCUUCUUAAGCUCAUAUCCAUUGUGAUCCAAGCCCAUCCAUUGUAGGAUCCCUCCAUAACAUUUUGUAUGUGAUACACUUGGCUUGUUGCAAGUAUCACACUUGUAUUAUUGCAUGUAGUUUCCCUUACCACUUGUAUAGAUGCAUGUAUUUUCUUUACCACUUGUCAUGUUGCAUGUAUUUCUAUUGACACUUGCCUUCAUGCAUGUAAGCUAUGUAGUUGCUCCUUCUACUAUAAAUAGGAGUUCACAAUGUACCUUGUAUCAUCCAACAAUUAGCAACAUAACAUCUUCC